RNAcentral lists this ribosomal RNA (517 nucleotides) under uncultured bacterium. RNAcentral's name for it is "bacterial SSU rRNA". It matches the Rfam family "Bacterial small subunit ribosomal RNA", at positions 28 to 526 of the family's 1533-position model. The record is from RNAcentral.
GACGAACGCUGGCGGCGUGCCUAACACAUGCAAGUCGAACGGAGUAUUCAGUAAUGGAUACUUAGUGGCGAACGGGUGAGUAACGCGUAGACAACCUGCCUUCUAGAUGGGGACAACACUGCGAAAGUGGUGCUAAUACCGAAUGUUGUUUUUUGUACGCAUGUAUAAGAAACUAAAGGUGGCCUCUGAACAUGCUACCGCUAGAAGAUGGGUCUGCGUCUGAUUAGCUAGUUGGAGAGGUAAUGGCUCCCCAAGGCGACGAUCAGUAGCCGGUCUGAGAGGAUGAACGGCCACACUGGGACUGAGACACGGCCCAGACUCCUACGGGAGGCAGCAGUGGGGAAUCUUCCGCAAUGGACGAAAGUCUGACGGAGCAACGCCGCGUGAGUGAAGAAGGUUUUCGGAUCGUAAAGCUCUGUCUUUAAGGACGAACGUGCGCUAUGUAAAUAAUGUAGUGUAAUGACGGUACUUUAGGAGGAAGCCACGGCUAACUACGUGCCAGCCGCCGCCGUAAAAC